Molecule: long non-coding RNA, 5436 nt
Organism: Numida meleagris (helmeted guineafowl)
Lineage: Eukaryota; Metazoa; Chordata; Aves; Galliformes; Numididae
Exons: 4
Source: RefSeq, a predicted model, not a curated record
UUUUGCUGGAGAUCCCUGUGUACCUGAGGCCUUCUGAAGCUUCCUGCUCCGGAUGGUGACUUCAAAGCCGGCGUCAGCACUCGCUCCAGCAGCCAGGGCAGCGAUAGCCUGCAUGCAGGCUGGAGGGCACCGGGGACAUCCAUCCUGCAGGUGGUGAAUGUGUUCAUGCAGAGAGGAGAAAAAUCCUCAGUCCUGAGCCUCUCCCUUGGCACAGAAAGCACUCUCUGAGCUCUCUUCCACCGCAGGAGCCAAAUUUCUGGGACCUCAGGGGACAGUCCUGGAGCUCUUUCAGGGUUAGGUUCACCUGGGGAUUUCUACAGUUGAAUUUUGGAGGGAAUUUCAGCAUAGCUUUAAAUAAGCGCUCUGCCACCAGUGCAUCUCAGCUGGGACCCAUGGCACUGGCUUCCCACCCAUCCCCAGCCUGCAGGCAGCUUGCACAGCCUUCCCUGCUCUCCCAGCCUUCAGCUUCUGAACAUCUUUUCAAGCAGAGCUCCAUCCAGAGCUACAUUAACACCCAGUCACCUGCAUCUGAAAGCAAACACAAGGUGGAUUCUAGACUUGUGGUGUGUGCGGGUGAGGAAGCUGUCUCCUUGGGAUGCAAAUGCUGUUCUCUUUCAAUUGAAAGAAAUGGUAUGGAUUUAAUGCAUCUUUCUAAGUUCCCUCCAUCCUACUGAGGGAACACUCCUGAAUUUGUUAUCUGGGUUGUCUGCAGACCCGGAUCUGCUAUUCUUCAUCAAUAAUGUGUUGGUUUCUCUCUGGAAUGUCCUACCUCUGCUGUCAGUGGAUGUUUCACAUGGUUAUCAGAGUUAAAGCCACAGCUCAAGCAUGCCUAACCAUCUGCCACAUAGCUUAUUGAUUUGGAAUAAGAAAUGAAGGAGCCUUACGUUCUUGUUACCACUGUGCCCGUUACUGUUUUCUUACUCGUGUCUAUGUAUACAGUCACUGCUAAAGCUUGAAGGAUUUAACUGGAAGCAAGCAUACUUCAUCUGGGAAUGGGACAAAGCACUUCAGAGAUCUGAGCCUUGCUUCAGUCACUUUUGGACCUGUCCCCAACAAAUGUUUCUCCUGAUAAGGACACAGCAUUGUUAGCUUUGGAUCCUUCACCUAAGGGAGAAGAGAUGAGCAUGGAGCUACUGCUGCAAAUUAUAAAUCAUGGAUUUCCCAAAGGUCUAUUGGCAGUUGGGCUUCCUGAACGGUUUGAGACAUUGCUGACAGCUCCCAUUUGUGCAGUGGUUCAACAAAGGGUGGUUGCUUUUUCUGCUCUGGGAAAGUAAGUGAAGAAGAGGAUCCAGCAGCAACUGCAUGACUGGAUUGCCCAUAGCUCACCCUUCCUCAGCUCUGAAUGCCUCUCUCGAGUCCCAGGUCUGCAGGCUCCUCACCCUGCAAAUUGCAAACAGGUUUCCAAUCACUAUGCUGGUGGUUAGGAGGAAAAUAGGAUGCCUGCAGUUGUCUGAGGUCUCACUCAUACAUUAAAGUGAGUUUUGAAGUUCUGCCAAGUCAGAAGGAUUAGGAAGGUAUUCUUUUUUUAAAUCUGUUUUUCAUAGAUUGUUUUUAUUUGUUGUUUGGCAUAGCAGCACUGUAGAUCUUUCAAGGAUUGAAUUGAGUGGGUCAGUGUCCUUUGUAAAAACGCUGUCAUGAGCUGGGACUAGGGUCUGGUACAGCAAGGAAAGAAGAGGGAUAAUGGAAAGAGACAAGGAGAUGUGGCAGCUGUUCUUUCUUGUGCUGAAGGCUCUUCAGCAUUGAGUUGGCCUGGAUCAGGAAGAGAUGAAGGUGGGUGCUGCUGGUGGAGGCUGCUCACUACCCAUGUCCCUCAGUGCCACAUCUCCACGGUUCUUGACCACCUCUUUGAGCAUCCGGUGCCAAUGCAUCACCACUCUUUCUGAGAAGAAAUUCUUCCUAAUCUGCAGCCUGAACCUCCCCGGUGCAACUUAAAGCCGUUCCCUCUAAUCCUAUCAAGUGCUUCUCUCUGCUUCAGUGCCUGAAGGUGUCCUCAGAGAACAUUCUUCCUCCUGAGAUGUGAUUUUGUGAUUUUUUUUUUUUCUUGGGUUGAAGGCCAGUUAGGAGAACAACAAAGUGACAUCUGGGAAUACACGGCAAACUCUUGUACUGAAUGGACGUUCCAUUGAUGCUAUAGGAGAUCAUACUCAGCAUAGUGCCUGUUACCAUAUCGCCUAGAUUUUGAACAUUCAAAGCUGGUCUGGAUACGGUUUGAACGUGCAGAAAACCUCAGGAUUCGUACAACACACUUGGCCAGGACACUGGGCAGCGUCAGCCUCAUCCCAGGACUCUGCUGCAAGCUUCCCAGCCUUGUGCAGAAUGUCUGAAGAUUCUUUCAAGUUUGUACAUGCUGACGUAAACAGAGCCCCUCGCUGCGGAAAUAAAACUGAAGGGAAUUUCUGGCACCGUUCAGAAUGAUGCAUAGUUUUGUGGUGACCUCUCCAUAGCAAGCACAAAGUUCUGUCUCUGCUUGGCACCAAGUGAAAUGUUUGGCAUGACUUGAAACACCCUGAGGACCAAAGUCACCUCUUAAGGUCUUUGUCCCCACUGAUCCCUGCGGAAGCAGCAAAAAAGCAUCAUUGCUCUUUUUUUAAUCCAAGAGAAGCUGAACUAUGGAAAGGUUAACUGAGUUUCUCAGGGACACAUAGGAAAUCAAUAGAAGAACAGAGCCUCCAAGCCGUAUUUUCUAAUUGUCCUGUGCACGCCCUUACAGAAACCUUAAAGAAGGUUUCAUCUUAUGAUUCUAUGAUCCUAUUGCCGAGCAGGUGCUGGGCUGCCCCAACUGCAUGGCUGAGCAUCCGUGGCUGCUGGACAGCUCCAGCCCCACCUCGCACCCUCAGCUCUCCCACCUGCAGGCUGCCCCGUGGUUUCAUCUCGUUUCCUGGAGUGCAGAAAUAAAGAAAGCUCUGGAGUUCCGCAGCAGUCUGACAGCAGUUGACCUUUAUAUGAUAAGCAAUGUUCCUCAGCAGCGCGCAUCGGCUUGCAUCAGUUUACAUUUAUUUUGCUUGUGACUUGUAAGCAUCCAAAGUGAAACCGAUUGGAUGGGACAGGCGGAAUCUCAGCAUCUUGAAGUAAUCUGUAAGGAGCCAGCAGCAGAGUCGUUAGACAGCAGUUUCUACAAACAGCUUUGGGGAAUUUGUCUGUGCUAAAGACUGUUCUCAUGUCGGAGGAUUGAGGAAAGGCUUGGCCAGUAGGAUUUUGUUUGUCUUGGAAGAUCUCCGGGGAAUCACAGGGUGAGCUGGAAGAGACUGGUAGAAAUGGCCCCAUCCAAGCUUCUAUGUGAGCCACUGGGAAGCUGCUGCCCUUCCAGCAUCCCUCUAUCUCUUCUGACUAACCCACUGCUAGAUAGUGAAGUCAUGGACCCCUCCUCUCUACAUUUAUCAAAGUACAUAACAUGUUUCUUCCUGUAAAAAUGAUGAAAUGCCACCAAAAUCAGGGCAUGAUUUAGGGACAGAAAUGCAACUUGAAAGCUUCAGCAAUGUGCUCUGCACACUGCUUACUGAGACAUGGGAUACUAAAUAGUCUUUUAGAAGUCCUUACAGGUGAAUUAGCCAUGUCGCUGACCUAUGUGUGCUUAGUGCGCUGCAGGCACCUUGAGCAGAGGCAGUGCCCAUGCUGAUGGGAAACCUCCACAUGUGGCACUUGGGGCUGUUCUGAUGAGACCAGUACAUGCACAGGACAUGCUCAGCCUCCCACAGGUCAAGGAGGUCAGACACAUGAAUCAGACCUGGUCUGGAAGCAUGAAGCAUAGAGGAGGGGCUUGCCAAAAUCUGGAAAGCUUUGGGAUGUGGGGGCUUGGAAUGUCCUUACCCCCACCCUGUGUGUGUGACCUGUUCCUUCAGGCAGUUCCUUUCGGCAUGAUCUCUUCUACGGAGCUUUCCCAAGAGGACCCAAUGCACACAGAAGCACGUUUGCACAUACAGAAAGGAGGGACAAGGCUCCAGCCUUGACUCGUGCCCAGGUGGCUCCCAGUAGUGCUGCACUGGGGACAUCUGCCCCCCCCAAACAGACAGUGAGGCACUUGUGUGGCACUGAGCCUUGGCCCAGCUUUAUCGGUUCCUUCACUGUGAUGACUCAAAGGAAAUACCAGCCACCUUUGAGGCUGCAGUGAAGUUCUGUCAGCUCGGCCCUGCUCCAGUCCCAGCAGAAAAAGAGCAGCAUCUCUCCUCUGAACCCAGGGCAACGCGCUCUUCUAGGCAUUAGCCGCUGCAUUUAUUUUCAUUUGCUGUUGUCAGAGCAGGACAGCAGGAUUUGGCCUUUUGGCAGAGAUGCUGGCUGUGUUUUAUGAGACUGCAGCCUCCCAACCUCAGGAAUCUGUCAUGCGGUGAUUUGGUUCCAUGGGGAAGACUCGGAUGAGUCAAUUCAUCAUCGCAGCCCCCUGGCUUAUCACCACACAGCCCAGGUGGGAGAACUGGAUCAGGAGAACUGUUCUGAGUGUAUUGCUUAAGAGGAUUGUCACUGUGGGAUUAGGGCUAGAACACUCCAUUGCCACGUUACCUCUUGUCUGAGGCAACAGUGAACAAUGUACUCUGGAAGGGUCAGUAAGACAUUCCUUCACGUUUUACAUGUGGAUAUGGGUGUAGAUACUGGAGAUCCAAUAAUGCAGUGAUGAAGCAGAAAAAUGUUGUUGUUUUUUUUUUUUAAUAUGGGUUGGGCAGUAUUGAGUGGGUUUUGGUACUAAAAGGAGAAAAAGCAGAAAGAUCAUUUAAAAAAAAAAGGUUGGCAAGUUUUUUCUGUUUGCUUAGAUCUUAAUUAGAAUUUAGUAAUUUAAAUCAGAAUAUAAUGUGUUUGUCUUGGUAUUAAAUGAUGCCAGUGGCAUGUCAGCAUAGCAAUGCCAUCAACUACUACUACAAUAAGUAGUUUUUCACUCAGGUUUGUAGUCAUGACCAUAGCACCUGGGUAUCUAACCAAGAAAUGUGCAUAUUCACACCCUACCUGAGACAAAACCUGGAGAUUCUGAUGAUUUCCUGGGUGUUUUCCUGCAUCAGCCACUAUCCACAACAUAAGCAUUAUCAGCAUUGCAGCACACCUGUAAACUGGGGCUCAAGCAGUCCUGCUGCUCUCCCCACACUCUGUAGCUCCACUUGCCCAGCCUGUGAGUCUUCCCAUCUCUCCAUCCAUCCCCUUCUGUCUGACAUCAGUUCCCUCCUUGUGGUUUUGCCCACUGCCAGCACAAUUUACAUUGAUCUUGACAGAUUGUCUGUCCAUCCCUUUGAAUUUCUGCGUGUGUUCUGACUUUGAAACAAUUCUGCACGUAAGCACUUGGCCACCAGCGAGCUGAUGAGACUGAACUGCUGUGAACCCAAACGCAUAUGAAGCAGCUCUGGAAAAGGGCAAACCAGUUUUUACCACGCAAAGCAGGAUGUAGCACUUUGGAGAGCUUCAAGCAAUAAAGCCGUCAUCUCUCCUGCCCUGCUCCCACAGCACAGAGCUCGCUUU